Anguilla rostrata (American eel) is the source of this 455-nucleotide long non-coding RNA. RefSeq lists it as uncharacterized. The record is from RefSeq and is a predicted model, not a curated record. The transcript has 2 exons. NCBI's taxonomy places the organism in Eukaryota, Metazoa, Chordata, Actinopteri, Anguilliformes, Anguillidae.
GGUUAAUGGAGUCCUGCUUUGGGACAGAGGCUAUGCCUGCAUGCUGUACCUGCUCACACCCUACCCAGAUCCAGGAACAGAGGCGGAGAGGGCCUUCAACCAUGCCCACACAAAAACGAGGGCACGGAUAGAGAUGACCUUUAGCCAACUGAAAUCCAGGUUCCAGUGCCUGAAAGGCUUCAGGGUUACUCCUGACCAGGCAUGUGAACAUAGCCAUUGCCUGUGCAGUCUUGCACAACAUUGCAACUAUACGCCGGGAGAGACUUCCCACAAUGUUAGUGGAGGAGCAAUGGGAGGACAUCGACCUUCAGGAACCGAUGGAUGAAGGACAGUGAGGGACCUUUACAAGGACACAUAUUUCAGUUAAUCCCCAUUGUGGUGACCUUUGUUUGAGUUAUCCCUUUUUUUCAGAACUUAGCAUGUACUGUAGAAUUUUAAUAAACAUGUGUGCCUAA